UACAGAGGUGUCGAGCGUUGUCCGGAAUUACUGGGCGUAAAGGGUGUGUAGGCGGGCAUGUAAGUCGGAUGUGAAAUCGCCGGGCUUAACCCGACAAUUGCAUCCGAAACUGCGUGUCUCGAGUGCAGAAGAGGAGAGUGGAAUUCCCAGUGUAGCGGUGAAAUGCGUAGAUAUUGGGAGGAACACCAGUGGCGAAGGCGGCUCUCUGGUCUGCAACUGACGCUGAAACACGAAAGCUAGGGGAGCAAACGGG
RNAcentral lists this ribosomal RNA (253 nucleotides) under uncultured bacterium. RNAcentral describes it as "partial 16S ribosomal RNA". It matches the Rfam family "Bacterial small subunit ribosomal RNA", at positions 524 to 776 of the family's 1533-position model. The record is from RNAcentral.